Molecule: long non-coding RNA, 401 nt
Filed under: Ananas comosus (pineapple)
Lineage: Eukaryota; Viridiplantae; Streptophyta; Magnoliopsida; Poales; Bromeliaceae
Description: long non-coding RNA (ACOM_LNC033657)
Source: RNAcentral
UCCGCUAUUUAUUCUGCCCUGGCCAAGGUCUUCUAAACUCGGUCUCAUAAAUCACAUAGGACUAACACCCCUAUCUACCAAGGGAGAUAGAUUCCAUCUGAGUGCGCACCCUAUUCCUACAAUGAACCUACUGCAGCCAACAUGCACCGCAAGGACCCGAAUGGCUAGGGACCAAGUGUAUGUACAGUCAAACUACAGUAACCUCAUUGUGAAUAGCCGAGGCACCGCAGGUCAAAGGACCAGUCACACUACUGCAACAUUGAGUAAGUCACUGACGAGUGAGUAGACAUCUAAGUGACUUCUCGCGUUGGUCAUGCUCGGUACCCUUGUUCUCUAACAACCACCUGCAUAUUCGCUUCAGUGUCCCCACACUGUCGACUCGAGACCCGUCUACCCAAAAG